This 274-nucleotide ribosomal RNA is filed under the name uncultured bacterium. RNAcentral describes it as "partial 16S ribosomal RNA". It matches the Rfam family "Bacterial small subunit ribosomal RNA", at positions 84 to 354 of the family's 1533-position model. The record is from RNAcentral.
CCCGCCGGCGACCGGCGCACGGGUGAGUAACACGUAUGCAACCUGGCCGUGACAGAUGGAUAACCGGGAGAAAUCCCGCCUAAUACAACAUAAUGCCGGGAGGGGACAUCCCCUGCCGGUCAAAGGGGGCGACCCCGGUCACGGAUGGGCAUGCGGCGCAUUAGGUAGUUGGUGGGGCAACGGCCCACCAAGCCGACGAUGCGUAGGGGUUCUGAGAGGAAGGUCCCCCACAUUGGAACUGAGACACGGUCCAAACUCCUACGGGAGGCAGCAG